Molecule: ribosomal RNA, 525 nt
Filed under: uncultured archaeon
Lineage: Archaea
Description: bacterial SSU rRNA
Rfam family: Archaeal small subunit ribosomal RNA
Source: RNAcentral
GAUUCUGAGACACGAAUCCAGGCCCUACGGGGUGCAGCAGGCGCGAAAACUUUACAAUGCUGGCAACAGCGAUAAGGGAACCUCGAGUGCCAGGUUACAAAUCUGGCUGUCGAGAUGCCUAAAAAGCAUUUCAUAGCAAGGGCCGGGCAAGACCGGUGCCAGCCGCCGCGGUAACACCGGCGGCUCGAGUGGUAACCGUUAUUAUUGGGUCUAAAGGGUCUGUAGCCGGCCGGAUAAGUCUCUUGAGAAAUCCAGCAGCUCAACUGUUGGGCUUUCAGGAGAUACUGUUCGGCUCGAGGCCGGGAGAGGUGAGAGGUACUUCAGGGGUAGGGGUGAAAUCUUGUAAUCCUUGAAGGACCACCAGUGGCGAAGGCGUCUCACCAGAACGGACCUGACGGCAAGGGACGAAAGCUAGGGGCACGAACCGGAUUAGAUACCCGGGUAGUCCUAGCCGUAAACGAUACUCGCUAGGUGUCGGCCACGGUGCGACCGUUGUCGGUGCCGUAGGGAAGCCGUGAAGCGAGC